RNAcentral lists this ribosomal RNA (492 nucleotides) under uncultured bacterium. RNAcentral describes it as "bacterial SSU rRNA". It matches the Rfam family "Bacterial small subunit ribosomal RNA", at positions 899 to 1397 of the family's 1533-position model. The record is from RNAcentral.
ACUCAAAGGAAUAGACGGGCACCCGCACAAGCGGUGGAGCAUGCUGUUUAAUUCGAAGAUACGCGAAAAACCUUACCUAGAUUUGACAUCCCGGGCAAAGCUAUAGAAAUAUAGUGGAGGCUAUCCCGGUGACAGAUGGUGCAUGGUUGUCGUCAGCUCGUGUCGUGAGAUGUUUGGUUAAGUCCAACAACGAGCGCAACCCUUAUCGUUAGUUGCUAACAUUUAGUUGAGAACUCUAGCGAUACUGCCGGUGUAAGCCGGAGGAAGGUGGGGAUGAGGUCAAAUCAUCAUGCCUCUUACAUCUAGGGCUACAGGCGUGCUACAAUGGCUGGUACAACGAGUCGCAACACAGUGAUGUGAAGCUAAUCUCUAAAAGCCAGUCUCAGUUCGGAUUGGAGUCUGCAACUCGACUCCAUGAAGUUGGAAUCGCUAGUAAUCCCGAAUCAGAAUGUCGGGGUGAAUACGUUCUCGGGUGUUGUACACACCGCCCGU